UUAAAUGUUAUGACGGAUACAAAACUAUCUGAUAUCAGUUACAGAGAGCCGGUGGCUGCUGAAAACCGGUACUGACUGGAUAGCAAUGAUCAAUCCCGAGCAUAAGGGCUGAAUUUAUCCAGUAAGCCUUUGCGGCUGGCAUACGUUAAUAUGCCGGGGUUUGUUAGAACCUAUCAAUAAGGUCACUUUUUCAAGUGAUGAAAUAGAGUGGUACCACGUUAAACAAGCGUCUCUAUA
RNAcentral lists this non-coding RNA (237 nucleotides) under Oxobacter pfennigii. RNAcentral's name for it is "T-box sequence". It matches the Rfam family "T-box leader". Rfam says of the family: Uncharged tRNA acts as the effector for transcription antitermination of genes in the T-box leader family. T-boxes are found upstream of many aminoacyl-tRNA synthetase genes and some amino acid biosynthetic genes usually in Gram-positive bacteria. The record is from RNAcentral. Lineage: Bacteria; Bacillati; Bacillota; Clostridia; Eubacteriales; Clostridiaceae.